RNAcentral lists this ribosomal RNA (253 nucleotides) under uncultured bacterium. RNAcentral's name for it is "partial 16S ribosomal RNA". It matches the Rfam family "Bacterial small subunit ribosomal RNA", at positions 524 to 776 of the family's 1533-position model. The record is from RNAcentral.
UACGGAGGGGGCUAGCGUUGUUCGGAAUUCCUGGGCGUAAAGCGCACGUAGGCGGCUUUGCAAGUCAGAGGUGAAAGCCCGGGGCUCAACCCCGGAAUUGCCUUUGAGACUGCAUCGCUAGAAUUGUGGAGAGGUAAGUGGAAUUCCGAGUGUAGAGGUGAAAUUCGUAGAUAUUCGGAAGAACACCAGUGGCGAAGGCGACUUACUGGACACAUAUUGACGCUGAGGUGCGAAAGCGUGGGGAGCAAACAGG